CCGUCGAUAGCUCAGUUGGUAGAGCGGUGGACUGUAGAGGUCUCUCGCUGGCAUCCAUAGGUCGCUGGUUCGAAUCCGGCUCGACGGA
This 88-nucleotide transfer RNA is filed under the name Haemaphysalis longicornis (longhorned tick). It matches the Rfam family "tRNA". From Rfam's summary of the family: Transfer RNA (tRNA) molecules are approximately 80 nucleotides in length. Lineage: Eukaryota; Metazoa; Arthropoda; Arachnida; Ixodida; Ixodidae. The record is from Rfam by way of RNAcentral.